Molecule: long non-coding RNA, 598 nt
Organism: Raphanus sativus (radish)
Lineage: Eukaryota; Viridiplantae; Streptophyta; Magnoliopsida; Brassicales; Brassicaceae
Exons: 2
Source: RefSeq, a predicted model, not a curated record
UGUGGGUUAGUGAAUUUAAUGAGCUGGGUUAAUAUUGGUUUGGAUUAAAAUAGGUUUAUGGUUUAUCCAGUCCAAACCAUUUUUUUUAAGUAAUCGUAUUAUCCUCUUGUCUAUUUCACGAGACCUAAUUUUUUCCCCAAUCUCAGAUCACUUCAUCUCCUACAGAAGCUCUCGAUCUCCCUCCUCGGCAUCGACCCUCACCGGCGAACUUCUCGAUCUCCCCUCCUCGGCAUCGACCCUCACCGGCGAACUUCUCGAUCUCCCUCCUCGGCAGCAAAUCUCCGACGAACCGAAGCUCUCCCCUCACCACCACUAUCUCAACUCAUCAUCCGAAGCUCUCCUCUCACCACCACCAUCUCAUCACCAUCAGGUACUUGUAAGGAAGAGGUGAACAUGAGAGUACGAAGACAUGCCUCAGCCUCUUGAUUCUCAAAUUACUGUAGUUAAUCUUACAAUACUUAUCUCUUGAAUUACUGUUUUAAUGCUUAGACAAUUUGGUACUUCAUGUUUAGACACUUCAUGUUUCAAUGCCUUUAGUUUUUUAUUGUAUGAAACUGCUGAGAAUAUGAAAAAAAAAUUGUGAAACAUGCUUUUUAUA